Molecule: non-coding RNA, 492 nt
Organism: Mustela lutreola (European mink)
Lineage: Eukaryota; Metazoa; Chordata; Mammalia; Carnivora; Mustelidae
Source: the annotation of a RefSeq genome assembly
AUGGCCUGGGUUCCUGUCCUCCUCAUGUUCCUGUCUCAAAUCACAGGUUCCCUGUCCAAGCCUGUGCUGACCCAGCCACCCUCUGUGUCUGCAUCUCCAGGAACAACAGCCAGACUCACCUGCACCCUGAGCAGUGGUUUCAGUAUUGGCAGCUACUGCAUUUACUGGUAUCCGCAGAAGCAAGGGAGCCCUCCCCAGUAUCUCUUGUACUACUACUCAGACUCCAUUACAGAGCUGGGACCUGGGAUCCCCAGCCACUUCUCUGGCUCCAAAGACACCUCGGCCAAUGCAGGGCUUCUGCUCAUCUCUGGGCUGCAGCCUGAGGGUGAGGCUAACUGUUACUGUGCAGUCUGGCACAGUGAUGCUGGUCACAGGGACACACACAGAUGGGGAAGUGGGACAAAUACCACAGCCUGCUCAGACCCUUGUGCUGCUAUGACUCUCUUCCAAUUUAAAAUAAGUAGAGUUCACACUGACUGUACUUGGAAGUAA